RNAcentral lists this ribosomal RNA (498 nucleotides) under uncultured bacterium. RNAcentral's name for it is "partial 16S ribosomal RNA". It matches the Rfam family "Bacterial small subunit ribosomal RNA", at positions 29 to 523 of the family's 1533-position model. The record is from RNAcentral.
AUUGAACGCUGGCGGCAUGCUUUACACAUGCAAGUCGAACGGUAACAGGCCGCAAGGUGCUGACGAGUGGCGAACGGGUGAGUAAUGCAUCGGAACGUGCCCAGUCGUGGGGGAUAACGCAGCGAAAGCUGUGCUAAUACCGCAUACGAUCUAUGGAUGAAAGCGGGGGACCGUAAGGCCUCGCGCGAUUGGAGCGGCCGAUGUCAGAUAGGGUAGUUGGUGGGGUAAAGGCUCACCAAGCCAGCGAUCUGUAGCUGGUCUGAGAGGACGACCAGCCACACUAGGACUGAGACACGGCCCAGAAUCCUACGGGAGGCAGCAGUGGGGAAUUUUGGACAAUGGGCGCAAGCCUGAUCCAGCGAUGCCGCGUGCAGGAAGAAGGCCUUCGGGUUGUAAACUGCUUUUGUACGGAACGAAAAGGUUUGGGUUAAUACCCUGGGCCGAUGACGGUACCGUAAGAAUAAGCACCGGCUAACUACGUGCCAGCAGCCGCAGUAA